GACGAACGCUGGCGGCGUGCUUAACACAUGCAAGUCGAACGGGAAGGCCCUGCUUUUGUGGCGUUCUCGAUUGGCGAACGGGUGAGUAACACGUGAGUAACCUGCCCUUGACUUUGGGAUAACUUCAGGGAACUGGGGCGAAUACCGGAGAGAAGCUCCUGCUGCAUAGGGUUGGUUGGAAAAUGUCGGCUGUUGGGUCUGGACUCGCUGCUUAUCAGCUGGUUGGUCAGGUAGUUGCUUACCAAGGCUUUGACGGGUAGCCGGCAUGAGAGGGUGACCGGCGACAUUGGGACUGCGAUACGGACCAGUAUGCUACGGGAGGCAGCAGUGGGGAAUAUUGCACAAUGGGCGGAAGCCUGAUGCAGAAACGCCGCGUGCGGGAUGCCGGCCUUUGGGUUGUAAACCGCUUUCGCCGGUGACGAAGCGUGAGUGACGGUAAUGGGUAAAGAAGCACCGGCUAACUACGUG
RNAcentral lists this ribosomal RNA (468 nucleotides) under uncultured bacterium. Its description in RNAcentral is "partial 16S ribosomal RNA". It matches the Rfam family "Bacterial small subunit ribosomal RNA", at positions 28 to 507 of the family's 1533-position model. The record is from RNAcentral.